Molecule: non-coding RNA, 69 nt
Organism: Phrynosoma platyrhinos (Desert horned lizard)
Lineage: Eukaryota; Metazoa; Chordata; Lepidosauria; Squamata; Phrynosomatidae
Source: the annotation of a GenBank genome assembly
GCCAGUGUGGUUUAAUGGCUUGAGUGCUGGACUAUGAAUCUGGAGACCAGGAUUCAAUCCCCACUGCCA